Molecule: ribosomal RNA, 268 nt
Filed under: uncultured Prevotella sp.
Lineage: Bacteria; Pseudomonadati; Bacteroidota; Bacteroidia; Bacteroidales; Prevotellaceae
Description: partial 16S ribosomal RNA
Rfam family: Bacterial small subunit ribosomal RNA
Source: RNAcentral
ACGUCGACCGGCGCACGGGUGAGUAACGCGUAUCCAACCUUCCCAUUAUUGUGGGAUAACCUGCCGAAAGGCAGACUAAUACCGCAUAGUCUUCGAUGACGGCAUCAGAUUUGAAGUAAAGAUUUAUCGGUAAUGGAUGGGGAUGCGUCUGAUUAGCUUGUUGGCGGGGUAACGGCCCACCAAGGCGACGACCAGUAGGGGUUCUGAGAGGAAGGUCCCCCACAUUGGAACUGAGACACGGUCCAAACUCCUACGGGAGGCAGCAGCG